Molecule: ribosomal RNA, 423 nt
Filed under: uncultured bacterium
Lineage: Bacteria
Also listed under: 1 other name
Description: bacterial SSU rRNA
Rfam family: Bacterial small subunit ribosomal RNA
Source: RNAcentral
UGAGGAAUAUUGGUCAAUGGACGAGAGUCUGAACCAGCCAAGUAGCGUGCAGGAUGACGGCCCUCCGGGUUGUAAACUGCUUUUAGUUGGGAAUAAAAAAGGUGACGUGUCAUCUAUUGUAUGUACCAUCAGAAAAAGGACCGGCUAAUUCCGUGCCAGCAGCCGCGGUAAUACGGAAGGUCCAGGCGUUAUCCGGAUUUAUUGGGUUUAAAGGGAGCGUAGGCGGAGAGAUAAGUCAGCGGUAAAAUCGUGCGGCUCAACCGUACCUCGCCGUUGAUACUGUUUUUCUUGAGUGCACACAGGGAUGCUGGAAUUCGUCGUGUAGCGGUGAAAUGCUUAGAUAUGACGAAGAACUCCGAUCGCGAAGGCAGGUGUCCGGGGUGCAACUGACGCUGAGGCUCGAAAGUGCGGGUAUCAAACAGG